RNAcentral lists this long non-coding RNA (2401 nucleotides) under Arachis ipaensis. RNAcentral describes it as "long non-coding RNA (AIPA_LNC000604)". The record is from RNAcentral. Lineage: Eukaryota; Viridiplantae; Streptophyta; Magnoliopsida; Fabales; Fabaceae.
CACCGUUCAAACCAUUAGUUAUAACAAAACAGGAACCACUACAUUGACUCAAAGAAACCAAAAACUGUGCACUCCUUCCAGUUUUUAUGUUUGCAAGUCAAACACAGAAAUACUUCCGUCCCAUGAGCACGAAGCGAUAACGUUAGGUAGAGCAGGGUGGAAGGUGACAUCGAUGCAUGCUUGGUCGUAGGCCUUGAUUUUGUUUAAAACUUUUGAUGACUGAUAAUCGUAAAGGUAAAUAGAACCAUCUGAAGACCCAGAGGCAAGCUUCUUCCCAUCCAAGCUGAAGUUGCAAGUAAUUGGAAAGCCAGAGACACCAUGGCUCUCGUACCGCUUAUAUUUGUUGAGUCUGUAAGGCGGGGUGGCAGUAAAAAUAGCAAUGUAAUUCCCAUUUGAUUGGGCAACAAAAGUCGAAUCAAAUGGAUGGCACCUUAUACACGGACAAGUAUAAGCUUCUGCAUAAACCUGAUUCAAAAGCAAUAAUAAGAAAUAAUAUAAAUCAUGGGUUAAUGGUUAUAAGGGUACUUGAAAUAUCACGUAUGCAUCAAUUUAGUCCUCAAAAGAUCACAUCUCAAACUGGUCCCUAGAAGAUAUAACAAUGAUCAUAUUGGUAAUUCCCAUGCGGCACGACAAAAGGAUAUGGCCCCUCAAUUCGGAAUAAAAAGUUCACAUCACAUCAUACAUGUUAAGGGAGAAAGCAAUAACGGACCUGUUCUUCUAGUGCAUGCUAUUAGUUGUAGUUAGAUUAAGAGUGACAACACAAACAAAAUAUACGACUUCAGCUAGAGGUUUAGAUUUUCAACUGAGUUUGUUUAUGAAAUCUUUCUGUUAGGUGAGAAGUCAGGAAUUGAAAGUAGGGGAGUCCAAAGUGGAGAGUCCAACUCAGUAUGAGGAGCAACAACAAGGUUAAUUGGGUAGUGCAAAGGACAAAGAGAGGCUAACCCAUUGACCUGUCUUUCAUUUAGGUUACAAAUAAAAAUUGAAAUUCUAAAAAAGGUCAUCUUAAGAGAAAAAAGGUGGAGCCAUUAUGCAAAGAAGAACCCAAAUAUCUUCCAAAAAUUUGGUGUAAGAGCCAUCAGCCCAUCACCCAAAUGAAUGGUUGAGAGAACUAAAGGAAGGUAACCUUGGGUGACAAAUUUCCAGGGACUGUUAUGCGCCACUAUAGUCGAAGAGUUGGUGUCACAUCCAUUCUUAUGCAAGCCAUACUUCACAAACAGAAUGUAAGUUUAUUUCUAUACCCACUUCCUUGGAUCAUAAUCAAUCUCUGUUAUAUGAACAUGGUUCUGCCAAAAGAUACAAUCUCUUAUGAGAAAACAAGUUUACAUGAAAAGCAAGUAGAUAAAGGCGGCACAAAAGAUCAUAGUUUGACCUGAAAUGCAGGUAAAGAAUGACAGCAUGAAAUUUGAUAGCUGGCAUAUAAUAUAAACAUGGGCAUUCCAUCACUUGAAUUGCAACUUCAGUUUCAAGUUUAGCACAAUUACAUGCUUAGGGGAUAACAUGAUGAUGACUGAAAAGAUGCAUUAGUUACAGAAUACAAAGAUGUUAUAGCUUGCAUGUUUUCUGUGUGGUGUGAGUGUAAGAUUUUCGUUAUGAGUGCUAAUUGCUUUCAAGCAGAACAUCCGGAAUCCCUCCAUUUGAAGUCACAAAAGUUUGCUAAAACUUAAAACUAUCUUCUGAGGACAAAACUAUAUGGUGGCUUACCAGACAAGAUUAAGCAUCCUUAUAAAGGAACUAGUCUAAAUAAUCUGUAGACAUUAGCAUUUGGUAGACAUGUAAACAAAUAAUUAAAUAAUUCUCUUCCAAUAUUUGUAGUUGCUAUACUAUUCAGAACAAGAAUCUGUCACAUCAUUAGAGUUUAGUCAUUGAUUUCUCACUUGAGGCAAAUACUUUUGAACAGUUCUUUAAACAACAUAUGAUUCACCUUGAUCUAAUCUGUAAUGGAAUACACAAUAAACCCAAUCUGAAAGGUAGAAUAAUUAAAAAAACACAACUCUCAAGAAAUAAAACCUGAGAGGUUUCACCGUUCAAACCAUUAGUUAUAACAAAACAGGAACCACUACAUUGACUCAAAGAAACCAAAAACUGUGCACUCCUUCCAGUUUUUAUGUUUGCAAGUCAAACACAGAAAUACUUCCGUCCCAUGAGCACGAAGCGAUAACGUUAGGUAGAGCAGGGUGGAAGGUGACAUCGAUGCAUGCUUGGUCGUAGGCCUUGAUUUUGUUUAAAACUUUUGAUGACUGAUAAUCGUAAAGGUAAAUAGAACCAUCUGAAGACCCAGAGGCAAGCUUCUUCCCAUCCAAGCUGAAGUUGCAAGUAAUUGGAAAGCCAGAGACACCAUGGCUCUCGUACCGCUUAUAUUUGUUGAGUCUGUAAGGCGGGGUGGCAGUAAAAAUAGCAAUGU